RNAcentral lists this ribosomal RNA (258 nucleotides) under uncultured bacterium. RNAcentral describes it as "partial 16S ribosomal RNA". It matches the Rfam family "Bacterial small subunit ribosomal RNA", at positions 524 to 781 of the family's 1533-position model. The record is from RNAcentral.
UACGUAGGGUGCAGGCGUUAAUCGGAAUUACUGGGCGUAAAGCGUGCGCAGGCGGUUUGCUAAGACAGGUGUGAAAUCCCCGGGCUCAACCUGGGAACUGCAUUAGUGACUGUAUAGCUAGAGUGCGGCAGAGGGGGAUGGAAUUCCGCGUGUAGCAGUGAAAUCCGUAGAUAUUCGGAGGAACACCAGUGGCGAAGGCGGCUUUCUGGACCAAUACUGACGCUGAGACGCGAAAGCGUGGGGAGCAAACAGGAUUAG